CCUACGGGAGGCAGCAGUGGGGAAUAUUGGACAAUGGGGGCAACCCUGAUCCAGCCAUGCCGCGUGUGUGAAGAAGGCCUUCGGGUUGUAAAGCACUUUUGUUGGGGAAGAAACCGGCCGGGUUAAUACCCUGGUUGAAUGACGGUACCCAAAGAAUAAGCACCGGCUAACUUCGUGCCAGCAGCCGCGGUAAUACGAAGGGUGCAAGCGUUACUCGGAAUUACUGAGCGUAAAGCGUGCGUAGGCGGUUUGUUAAGUCUGCUGUGAAAGCCCCUGGGCUCAACCUGGGAACUGCAGUGGAUACUGGCGAGCUAGAAGUGUGUCAGAGGAUUGUGAAUUCCCGGUGUAGCGGUGAAAUGCGUAGAGAUCCGGAGGAACCCAGUGGCGAAGGCGGCCAUCUGGGACAACACUGACGCUGAGGCACGAAAGCGUGGGGAGCAAACAGGAUUAGAUACCCUGGUAGUCCACGCCCUAAACGAUGCGAACUGGACGUUGGGCACACUUAGGUGCUCAGUGUCGAAGCUAACGCGUUAAGUUCGCCGCCUGGGGAGUACGGUCGCAAGACUGAAACUCAAAGGAAUUGACGG
Molecule: ribosomal RNA, 587 nt
Filed under: uncultured bacterium
Lineage: Bacteria
Description: bacterial SSU rRNA
Rfam family: Bacterial small subunit ribosomal RNA
Source: RNAcentral